Molecule: ribosomal RNA, 985 nt
Filed under: Cordyceps militaris
Lineage: Eukaryota; Fungi; Ascomycota; Sordariomycetes; Hypocreales; Cordycipitaceae
Description: eukaryotic LSU rRNA
Rfam family: Eukaryotic large subunit ribosomal RNA
Source: RNAcentral
GUUGACCUCGGAUCAGGUAGGAAUACCCGCUGAACUUAAGCAUAUCAAUAAGCGGAGGAAAAGAAACCAACAGGGAUUGCCCCAGUAACGGCGAGUGAAGCGGCAACAGCUCAAAUUUGAAAUCUGGCCCCCGGGUCCGAGUUGUAAUUUGUAGAGGAUGCUUUUGGCGAGGUGCCUUCCGAGUUCCCUGGAACGGGACGCCAUAGAGGGUGAGAGCCCCGUCUGGUCGGACACCGAGCCUCUGUAAAGCUCCUUCGACGAGUCGAGUAGUUUGGGAAUGUUGCUCAAAAUGGGAGGUAUAUGUCUUCUAAAGCUAAAUAUUGGCCAGAGACCGAUAGCGCACAAGUAGAGUGAUCGAAAGAUGAAAAGCACUUUGAAAAGAGGGUUAAAAAGUACGUGAAAUUGUUGAAAGGGAAGCGCCUAUGACCAGACUUGGGCCCGGUGAAUCACCCAGCGUUCUCGCUGGUGCACUUCGCCGGGCACAGGCCAGCAUCAGUUUGGCGCGGGGGAGAAAGGCUUCGGGAAUGUGGCUCCCCCGGGAGUGUUAUAGCCCGUUGCGCGAUACCCUGCGCUGGACUGAGGUACGCGCAUUCGCAAGGAUGCUGGCGUAAUGGUCAUCAGCGACCCGUCUUGAAACACGGACCAAGGAGUCGUCUUCGUAUGCGAGUGUUCGGGUGUCAAACCCCUACGCGUAAUGAAAGUGAACGCAGGUGAGAGCUUCGGCGCAUCAUCGACCGACCCUGAUGUUCUCGGAUGGAUUUGAGUAAGAGCAUACGGGGCCGGACCCGAAAGAAGGUGAACUAUGCCUGUAUAGGGUGAAGCCAGAGGAAACUCUGGUGGAGGCUCGCAGCGGUUCUGACGUGCGAAUCGAUCGUCAAAUAUGGGCAUGGGGGCGAAAGACUAAUCGAACCCUCUAGUAGCUGGUUUCCGCCGAAGUUUCCCUCAGGAUAGCAGUGUUGAACUCAGUUUUAUGAGGUAAAGCGAA